GAUGAACGCUGGCGGCGUGCAUAAUACAUGCAAGUCGAGCGAACGGAUGAGAAGCUUGCUUCUCUGAUGUUAGCGGCGGACGGGUGAGUAACACGUGGAUAACCUACCUAUAAGACUGGGAUAACUUCGGGAAACCGGAGCUAAUACCGGAUAAUAUUUUGAACCGCAUGGUUCAAAAGUGAAAGACGGUCUUGCUGUCACUUAUAGAUGGAUCCGCGCUGCAUUAGCUAGUUGGUAAGGUAACGGCUUACCAAGGCAACGAUGCAUAGCCGACCUGAGAGGGUGAUCGGCCACACUGGAACUGAGACACGGUCCAGACUCCUACGGGAGGCAGCAGUAGGGAAUCUUCCGCAAUGGGCGAAAGCCUGACGGAGCAACGCCGCGUGAGUGAUGAAGGUCUUCGGAUCGUAAAACUCUGUUAUUAGGGAAGAACAUAUGUGUAAGUAACUGUGCACAUCUUGACGGUACCUAAUCAGAAAGCCACGGCUAACUACGUG
RNAcentral lists this ribosomal RNA (497 nucleotides) under uncultured bacterium. RNAcentral's name for it is "partial 16S ribosomal RNA". It matches the Rfam family "Bacterial small subunit ribosomal RNA", at positions 28 to 507 of the family's 1533-position model. The record is from RNAcentral.